RNAcentral lists this ribosomal RNA (253 nucleotides) under uncultured bacterium. RNAcentral's name for it is "partial 16S ribosomal RNA". It matches the Rfam family "Bacterial small subunit ribosomal RNA", at positions 524 to 776 of the family's 1533-position model. The record is from RNAcentral.
UACGUAGGGUGCAAGCGUUGUCCGGAAUUAUUGGGCGUAAAGAGCUCGUAGGCGGUCUGUCGCGUCGGCUGUGAAAACCCGGGGCUCAACCCCAGGCCUGCAGUCGAUACGGGCAGACUAGAGUGUGGUAGGGGAGACUGGAGUUCCUGGUGUAGCGGUGAAAUGCGCAGAUAUCAGGAGGAACACCGGUGGCGAAGGCGGGUCUCUGGGCCAUAACUGACGCUGAGGAGCGAAAGCGUGGGGAGCGAACAGG